This 502-nucleotide long non-coding RNA is filed under the name Physcomitrium patens. Its description in RNAcentral is "long non-coding RNA (PPAT_LNC006473)". The record is from RNAcentral. Lineage: Eukaryota; Viridiplantae; Streptophyta; Bryopsida; Funariales; Funariaceae.
UCCUAAUUCUAAUAGAAUAUUAAAAAUACUCUAAUUAGACCAUAAUAAUGCUAAGCAAGCUUAAUCAAAUUCAAAAAAAUCUCAAAGAAAUUUCAAACAAACAAUAAGAAUUCUUAAAGAAAUAUUAGAAGGAUCACAAAUAUCACUCAAAUACAUCUCAAUUCAAUCUUAAUUUAAUUCUAGUUAAAAUCCUAUUGAACUUCAUUUAGACUUUAGGCCAAAACUAAUUGAAUCUUAAAUCCUAAUAAAAUCCUAAAUCCUAAAUCAAACCCUAAAAAAAUCUUAAACCAAAUUCCAACCAAAUUCUAAACCAAAUCCUAACCAAAACCCUAAACCAAAUCCUAAACCCUAAAUCAAACCCUAAAUCUUAAAUCAAACCCUAAUCAAAUCCUAAACCUUAAAUCAAACCUCAACUAAAUCCUAAAUCCUAAAUCAAAUCCUAAUCAAAUCUUAAACCAAAUCCUAAUCCAAACCCUAAACCCUAAACUAAAUCCUAACCAAA